AGCAUGUGGUUAAUUCGAAGCAACGCGAAGAACCUUACCAGGUCUUGACAUCCGAUGCUAUUUCUAGAGAUAGAAAGUUACUUCGGUACAUCGGUGACAGGUGGUGCAUGGUUGUCGUCAGCUCGUGUCGUGAGAUGUUGGGUUAAGUCCCGCAACGAGCGCAACCCUUAUCAUUAGUUGCUACGCAAGGGCACUCUAAUGAGACUGCCGGUGACAAACCGGAGGAAGGUGGGGAUGACGUCAAAUCAUCAUGCCCCUUAUGACCUGGGCUACACACGUGCUACAAUGGUUGGUACAACGAGUUGCGAGUCGGUGACGGCGAGCUAAUCUCUUAAAGCCAAUCUCAGUUCGGAUUGUAGGCUGCAACUCGCCUACAUGAAGUCGGAAUCGCUAGUAAUCGCGGAUCAGCACGCCGCGGUGAAUACGUUCCCGGGCCUU
This 438-nucleotide ribosomal RNA is filed under the name uncultured Streptococcus sp. RNAcentral describes it as "bacterial SSU rRNA". It matches the Rfam family "Bacterial small subunit ribosomal RNA", at positions 936 to 1382 of the family's 1533-position model. Lineage: Bacteria; Bacillati; Bacillota; Bacilli; Lactobacillales; Streptococcaceae. The record is from RNAcentral.